Molecule: ribosomal RNA, 639 nt
Filed under: Lyngbya aestuarii PCC 7419
Lineage: Bacteria; Bacillati; Cyanobacteriota; Cyanophyceae; Oscillatoriales; Microcoleaceae
Description: bacterial SSU rRNA
Rfam family: Bacterial small subunit ribosomal RNA
Source: RNAcentral
GAGUAACGCGUGAGAAUCUGCCUCUAGAACGGGGACAACAGAGGGAAACUUCUGCUAAUCCCGGAUGAGCCGAAAGGUCAAAGAUUUAUCGUCUAGAGAUGAGCUCGCGUCUGAUUAGCUAGUUGGUAAGGUAAAAGCUUACCAAGGCGACGAUCAGUAGCUGGUCUGAGAGGAUGAUCAGCCACACUGGGACUGAGACACGGCCCAGACUCCUACGGGAGGCAGCAGUGGGGAAUUUUCCGCAAUGGGCGCAAGCUGACGGAGCAAGACCGCGUGGGGGAGGAAAGCCUUUGGGUUGUAAACCCUUUUCUCAGGGAAGAAGAAAGUGACGGUACCUGAGGAAUCAGCCUCGGCUAACUCCGUGCCAGCAGCCGCGGUAAUACGGAGGAGGCAAGCGUUAUCCGGAAUGAUUGGGCGUAAAGCGUUCGUAGGUGGCAAUUCAAGUCUGCUGUCAAAGACAGUAGCUCAACUACUGCAAGGCAGUGGAAACUGAAUAGCUAGAGUGCGGUAGGGGCAGAGGGAAUUCCCGGUGUAGCGGUGAAAUGCGUAGAGAUCGGGAAGAACACCGGUGGCGAAACGCUCUGCUGGGCCGCACUGACACUGAGGGACGAAAGCUAGGGGAGCGAUGGGAUUAGAUAC